GGGGGUGCCUAUACUGCAGUCGAGCGAGCUUGCCUAGAUGAUUUUAGUGCUUGCACUAAAUGAAACUAGAUACAAGCGAGCGGCGGACGGGUGAGUAACACGUGGGUAACCUGCCCAAGAGACUGGGAUAACACCUGGAAACAGAUGCUAAUACCGGAUAACAACACUAGACGCAUGUCUAGAGUUUGAAAGAUGGUUCUGCUAUCACUCUUGGAUGGACCUGCGGUGCAUUAGCUAGUUGGUAAGGUAACGGCUUACCAAGGCAAUGAUGCAUAGCCGAGUUGAGAGACUGAUCGGCCACAUUGGGACUGAGACACGGCCCAAACUCCUACGGGAGGCAGCAGUAGGGAAUCUUCCACAAUGGACGAAAGUCUGAUGGAGCAACGCCGCGUGAGUGAAGAAGGGUUUCGGCUCGUAAAGCUCUGUUGGUAGUGAAGAAAGAUAGAGGUAGUAACUGGCCUUUAUUUGACGGUAAUUACUUAGAAAGUCACGGCUAACUACGUGCCAGCAGCCGCGGUAAUACGUAGGUGGCAAGCGUUGUCCGGAUUUAUUGGGCGUAAAGCGAGUGCAGGCGGUUCAAUAAGUCUGAUGUGAAAGCCUUCGGCUCAACCGGAGAAUUGCAUCAGAAACUGUUGAACUUGAGUGCAGAAGAGGAGAGUGGAACUCCAUGUGUAGCGGUGGAAUGCGUAGAUAUAUGGAAGAACACCAGUGGCGAAGGCGGCUCUCUGGUCUGCAACUGACGCUGAGGCU
Molecule: ribosomal RNA, 750 nt
Filed under: uncultured bacterium
Lineage: Bacteria
Description: bacterial SSU rRNA
Rfam family: Bacterial small subunit ribosomal RNA
Source: RNAcentral